RNAcentral lists this unclassified non-coding RNA (229 nucleotides) under plant metagenome. Its description in RNAcentral is "partial contains small subunit ribosomal RNA, internal transcribed spacer 1, and 5.8S ribosomal RNA". The record is from RNAcentral.
UCUCCGUAGGUGAACCUGCGGAGGGAUCAUUACAGAGUUCAUGCCCUACCGGGUAGAUCUCCCACCCUAUGUUAUUAUUACUUUGUUGCUUUGGCGGGCCGUUAGGCUCCGGCCCGACUACCGGCCCCGGCUGGUAAGCGCCCGCCAGAGGACCCAAAACCCUGAAUAUUAGUGUCGUCUGAGUACUAUACAAUAGUUAAAACUUUCAACAACGGAUCUCUUGGUUCUG